GAUGAACGCUGGCGGCGUGCUUAACACAUGCAAGUCGAACGAACCUUCGGGUUAGUGGCGGACGGGUGAGUAACGCGUGAGAAUUUGCCCUCAGGAGGGGGAUAACGGCUGGAAACGGCCGCUAAUACCCCAUAUGCCGCGAGGUGAAAUGAAUUUCGCCUGAGGAUGAGCUCGCGUUUGAUUAGCUAGUUGGUGGGGUAAAGGCCUACCAAGGCUUCGAUCAGUAGCUGGUUUGAGAGGAUGAUCAGCCACACUGGGACUGAGACACGGCCCAGACUCCUACGGGAGGCAGCAGUGGGGAAUUUUCCGCAAUGGGCGAAAGCCUGACGGAGCAACGCCGCGUGAGGGAUGAAGGCCUUUGGGCUGUAAACCUCUUUUAUCAAGGAAGAAGAUUUGACGGUACUUGAUGAAUAAGCCCCGGCUAAUUCCGUG
Molecule: ribosomal RNA, 432 nt
Filed under: uncultured bacterium
Lineage: Bacteria
Description: bacterial SSU rRNA
Rfam family: Bacterial small subunit ribosomal RNA
Source: RNAcentral